RNAcentral lists this long non-coding RNA (1384 nucleotides) under Monodelphis domestica (gray short-tailed opossum). Its description in RNAcentral is "lncRNA (ENSMODG00000039441.1)". The record is from RNAcentral. Lineage: Eukaryota; Metazoa; Chordata; Mammalia; Didelphimorphia; Didelphidae.
CAGAGAGUUGAGUGAUUUGCUGAUGAUCAUAGAGUUAGUAAGUAUGAAAGGUGAGAGUCAAACAGGUCUUCUUGAACACAUAUACGAUAUUUCUUUCCCCUCUUUCUAUUCAGGAGGAUGCUUUGUAUCUAAGAAGUCCAUAGAAGUAUACCUUGGAGAAAAUGCUUGUGGCCAAAGAUUGCUACUUUUAUAGGAUAUUAGAACCAGUUAAGCUGUUACAAAUAGUCAAAUUCAAUGCCUUUAUUUUAUAAGAGAGCUUUGAAGCGCAGAGGAUGUCACAGGGAGUUAUUUAAAAAAAAAUCUGGGGAUGAGUAGGUGGCUUAAUGGAUUGAGAGCCAGGAUUAGAGAUGGAUUGUCCUGGGUUCAACUAUGGCCUCAGACACUUCCUGGCUAUGUGACUCUGGAUAAGUUAUUCAAUCCUCAUUACCUAACCAUUACCAUUCUUCUUCCUAGCAAACAAUACACAGUAUUGAUUCUAUGGCAAAAGCCAGGUAACCUCAGUCAGUCAGCAAAGGCUUCAGGGUCUUCACCAUCAGCCACAAGCAGCCAAAACUCAGUCCAAAAGCUAAAACCCCCAGCUUCUUCUCCACCACUCUAUCAGAAGCCAAAGGACAGCCCACCAAUCCUCUCAGCCCAGUUCAGAAUGGUUUGGCUUCAACUGUUUUUCCAGAGGAAUGGACUACUAAUGAGCCACUGCUCAGUGUGAAGGAGCACAGGAUCAAGGACCAAUGCCAAGGAGGACAUGUCUUAUGGGACCCAGGGAAAUGACUGUUCAGUAAGUCCUGAGGUUGUACUUUCCUAUUUUCUGCCUUUAAGAUAUGAAACUCAAUAUAUAUCCCUGUUUGGCUUUAACUUUGCCUUGCUAUCCCUAUGACUGAAGUAGGAAUCAGGCCAGGGAAUGAUAUUUCCCUUUUGUCAGACAUUCCUCCCUAUGGCAAUUUUCUGUAGUCCUGGCUGAUGGUGGGAACUGCAAUAUUGCAGCAUCUGUUCUACAUGUUCAUGGAUAUAAACUACCUCAAUUGAAUCUUGAUAUUGAAUUGAGGACCUGUUAUGAUUUUAAUAUGUGCUUAAGUAUAUUUUUAUACAUAUAUUAUUUUAAUCAAUUUAUUUUAUUUUAUUUUCUUUCUCCUCUUGUUUUUAGAAGAAAUGAUUCAUAUACCUUAUAGCUUAGGCAUAUAUUCUAUGUCAAUUCUAUUGGUGUAUGUCCUUCUAAGGGGAGGUUUGUGUGAUUAUCCUUAAAGUCCAAUGUCUAAGAUCUUUUUAAAGCAAUUUUAGUAAAAGAUAAUCAUUAAUACCAUAGACCAGAAAAGCGGGUCUUUGGGAGAAGAUGCAAUAAGGAUGCUUGCAGAAAUAAACCAUCACAUCAUGAGCUUUGAAGUGAACA